RNAcentral lists this transfer RNA (63 nucleotides) under Rattus norvegicus (Norway rat). It matches the Rfam family "tRNA". From Rfam's summary of the family: Transfer RNA (tRNA) molecules are approximately 80 nucleotides in length. Their secondary structure includes four short double-helical elements and three loops (D, anti-codon, and T loops). Lineage: Eukaryota; Metazoa; Chordata; Mammalia; Rodentia; Muridae. The record is from Rfam by way of RNAcentral.
GGGGAUUUAGCUCAGCGGUAGAGCACUUGCCUAGCAAGCUCAAGGCCCUGGGUUCAGUCCCCA